GAGUUUGAUCCUGGCUCAGGAUGAACGCUAGCGGCAGGCCUAACACAUGCAAGUCGAGGGGCAGCACGGUGUAGCAAUACACUGGUGGCGACCGGCGCACGGGUGCGUAACGCGUAUGCAACCUACCCAUAACAGGGGGAUAACACUGAGAAAUUGGUACUAAUACCCCAUAACAUCAGGACCGGCAUCGGUUCUGGUUGAAAACUCCGGUGGUUAUGGAUGGGCAUGCGUUGUAUUAGCUGGUUGGUGAGGUAACGGCUCACCAAGGCAACGAUACAUAGGGGGACUGAGAGGUUAACCCCCCACAUUGGUACUGAGACACGGACCAAACUCCUACGGGAGGCAGCAGUGAGGAAUAUUGGUCAAUGGACGCAAGUCUGAACCAGCCAUGCCGCGUGCAGGAAGACGGCUCUAUGAGUUGUAAACUGCUUUUGUACGAGGGUAAACGCUCUUACGUGUAAGAGCCUGAAAGUAUCGUACGAAUAAGGAUCGGCUAACUCCGUGCCAGCAGCCGCGGUAAUACGGAGGAUCCAAGCGUUAUCCGGAUUUAUUGGGUUUAAAGGGUGCGUAGGCGGUUUGAUAAGUUAGAGGUGAAAUACCGGUGCUUAACACCGGAACUGCCUCUAAUACUGUUGAACUAGAGAGUAGUUGCGGUAGGCGGAAUGUAUGGUGUAGCGGUGAAAUGCGUAGA
RNAcentral lists this ribosomal RNA (691 nucleotides) under uncultured bacterium. RNAcentral describes it as "bacterial SSU rRNA". It matches the Rfam family "Bacterial small subunit ribosomal RNA", at positions 9 to 694 of the family's 1533-position model. The record is from RNAcentral.